CUGUCUUUAGUUGCUAACAGGUCAAGCUGAGCACUCUAAAGAGACUGCCGGUGAAAAACCGGAGGAAGGUGGGGAUGACGUCAAGUCCUCAUGGCCUUUAUGUCCAGGGCUACACACGUACUACAAUGGCCGGUACAAAGAGUCGCAAACCCGCGAGGGGGAGCCAAUCUCAAAAAGCCGGUCUCAGUUCGGAUUGGAGUCUGCAACUCGACUCCAUGAAGCUGGAAUCGCUAGUAAUCACUGAUCAGCAAGCAGUGGUGAAUACGUUCCCGGGCCUU
Molecule: ribosomal RNA, 278 nt
Filed under: uncultured bacterium
Lineage: Bacteria
Description: partial 16S ribosomal RNA
Rfam family: Bacterial small subunit ribosomal RNA
Source: RNAcentral